RNAcentral lists this ribosomal RNA (810 nucleotides) under uncultured bacterium. Its description in RNAcentral is "bacterial SSU rRNA". It matches the Rfam family "Bacterial small subunit ribosomal RNA", at positions 8 to 796 of the family's 1533-position model. The record is from RNAcentral.
AGAGUUUGAUCCUGGCUCAGAACGAACGCUGGCGGCGUGGAUAAGACAUGCAAGUCGAACGGGACUAUUUCUAGUAGCAAUACCGGGAAUAGUUUAGUAGCGAACGGGUGCUUAACACGUGGGCAACCUGCCAUGAAGUGGGGGAUAGCUCGCCGAAAGGCGAAUUAAUACCGCAUGUGAUUAGAGAGGACAUCCUUUCGAAAUUAAAGCUGGGGCAACCUAGCGCUUCUUGUGGGGCCCGCGGCCUAUCAGCUAGUUGGUGAGGUUACGGCUCACCAAGGCUUUGACGGGUAGCUGGUCUGAGAGGACGACCAGCCACACUGGGACUGAGACACGGCCCAGACACCUACGGGUGGCAGCAGUCGAGAAUUUUUGACAAUGGGGGAAACCCUGAUCGAGCGACGCCGCGUGGAGGAUGAAGGUCUUCGGAUUGUAAACUCCUGUCAUUGGGGAACAAUGCACAGAUAUUAACUGUAUUUGUGUUGAUAGUACCCGAAGAGGAAGGGACGGCUAACUCUGUGCCAGCAGCCGCGGUAAUACAGAGGUCCCAAGCGUUGUUCGGAUUCAUUGGGCGUAAAGGGUGCGUAGGCGGCGCGGUAAGUCGGGUGUGAAAUCUCGGGGCUUAACUCCGAAACUGCAUUCGAUACUGCCGUGCUUGAGGACUGGAGAGGAGACUGGAAUUUACGGUGUAGCGGUGAAAUGCGUAGAUAUCGUAAGGAAGACCAGUGGCGAAGGCGGGUCUCUGGACAGUUCCUGACGCUGAGGCACGAAGGUCAGGGGAGCAAACGGGAUUAGAUACCCUAGUAGUCC